CCUACGGGUGGCAGCAGUGGGGAAUAUUGCACAAUGGGGGAAACCCUGAUGCAGCGACGCCGCGUGAGUGAAGAAGGAAUUCGUUAUGUAAAGCUCUAUCAGCAGGGAAGAAAAGGACGGUACCUGAGGAAGAAGCCCCGGCGAACUACGUGCCAGCAGCCGCGGGAAUACGUAGGGGGCAAGCGUUAUCCGGAUUGACGGGGUGUAAAGGGAGCGUAGACGGCAGGGCAAGUCUGGAGGGAAAGGCGGGGGCGCAACCCCCGGACUGCUCUGGAAACUGUCCGGCUUGAGUGCAGGAGAGGUAAGUGGAAUUCCUAGUGUAGCGGUGAAAUGCUUAGAUAUUAGGAGGAACACCAGUGGCGAAGGCGGCUUACUGGACUGUAACUGACGUUGAGGCUCGAACGCGUGGGGAGCAAACAGGAUUAGAUACCCCAGUAGUC
RNAcentral lists this ribosomal RNA (440 nucleotides) under uncultured bacterium. Its description in RNAcentral is "partial 16S ribosomal RNA". It matches the Rfam family "Bacterial small subunit ribosomal RNA", at positions 338 to 795 of the family's 1533-position model. The record is from RNAcentral.